GAAACGGUUUUUUUUAAAACCAACCUUAUAGCCAUUUUGGGGAAAU
Non-coding RNA from Rhodnius prolixus, 46 nucleotides. The record is from Rfam. Lineage: Eukaryota; Metazoa; Arthropoda; Insecta; Hemiptera; Reduviidae.